AGUUAGGGCUCGACUCCGGAGAACAAGCCUGAGAAACGGCUAGUAGGACUAAGGUCUGCAGCAGGCGCGAAACUUACACAAUGCUAGAUUAACAUUAGCGAUGUAGUGAAGAAAAAUAACGAUAUACUUCCUUUUAAACAAGGUAGUAUAAUUGGAAUGAGGCGAUUUUAAACCAAUUAGCCGAGUAACAAAUGGAGGGCAAGUCUGGUGCCAGCAGCCGCGGUAAUUCCAGCUCCAUUAGCAUACAUUAAAGUUGUUGCGGUUAAAAAGCUCGUAGUUGAAUUUCUAGCGGUUUUAUAUGGUGGUUAGUCGUUUAAGGUGUUUGGACUUUGAGUGUGUGUGUAUACUCUACACAUCUCUCAUCCCAUCCACUGGCUAUCCAACUCAUUUCAAAGCCGCUGUUUCGUCACUUAAUCGAGUGCGAAGCAGGUUGGAACAAAUAGGUUGAGUCUUCCAUAGACUUAUUUCGCUAUUGUUACAACACGUUUACCUUGAGAAAAUUAGAGUGCUCACAGCAGGCAGUUGGGAUGUAAAAGUCCCUUUAUGCUUGAAUAAUGUUGCAUGGAAUAAUAGAAUACGGCCUCGGUUCUAUUCUGUUGGUCUUAUAGAACAACAAACAAGUUGGUUGAAGCGAUAAACAGUUUGCUUGGAAGUGUGGUUGCAUUGAUCAAAUCGCAUGUUGUCACACUGGAAAAGUGCUAGAUCCAGAGCCAUGUUACCUAGUGGAUCAAAACACUAGCGUCUUGCUCUCUAGUAACUAUUCAGUCAGCGUAGUUGAUUUUCAAUCUACCAUUAAGCACUCCAAACCACAAACUAGCUCUCAUUCCAACUGAGGCAAUGGUUAAAAGAAAUAGUCGCGGCGGCAUCAGUACUGCAUCGUGAGAGGUGAAAUUCUUAGACCGAUGCAAGACUAACUGAAGCGAAAGCGUUUGCCGAGGAUAUUUUCAUUAAUCAAGAACGAAAGUUAGAGGUUCGAAGGCGAUCAGAUACCGCCCUAGUUCUAACCAUAAACGUUGCCAACUAGCAAUUGGGUUGCGAUUCCUUUAAUCGAAGCCUCAAAAACUUCGAUCAUUAUGAUCCACCCAGCGGCUCUCGUAGGGAAACCAAAGUGUUUGGGUUCCGGGGGAAGUAUGAUUGCAAAGUUGAAACUUAAAGGAAUUGACGGAAGGGCACCACCAGGAGUGGAGCCUGCGGCUUAAUUUGACUCAACACGGGGAAACUUACUAGAUUAUAACUCUGGAAUGAUUGACAGAUUGAUAGCUCUUUCUUGAUUCAGAGGAUGGUGGUGCAUGGCCGUUCUUGAUUCGUAUUCCGAAACGUCUGCUUAAUUGCGAUAACGAGUGAGACCUCACCUAUUUAACUAGUCGUUUUGGUGCGCUGUGGAACGUAUAAAAGUUUGCAUUAGGUUUAAGGUUAUGCAUGCGGUUGAGUGUCAAAGCUUAGCUUGCUGUUUAGCUACCUAGUGUGAAUGUUCUCUGCUCGCCAGCGGACUUCUUAAAAGGAUAAACGGUGUUUUAGCCGUAAGAAACGAGGCAAUAACAGGUCUGUGAUGC
This 1553-nucleotide ribosomal RNA is filed under the name Aculops sp. GZ37. Its description in RNAcentral is "SSU rRNA". It matches the Rfam family "Eukaryotic small subunit ribosomal RNA", at positions 368 to 1470 of the family's 1831-position model. Lineage: Eukaryota; Metazoa; Arthropoda; Arachnida; Trombidiformes; Eriophyidae. The record is from RNAcentral.